ACAGAUGGGAGCUUGCUCCCUGAUGUUAGCGGCGGACGGGUGAGUAACACGUGGGUAACCUGCCUGUAAGACUGGGAUAACUCCGGGAAACCGGGGCUAAUACCGGAUGGUUGUUUGAACCGCAUGGUUCAAACAUAAAAGGUGGCUUCGGCUACCACUUACAGAUGGACCCGCGGCGCAUUAGCUAGUUGGUGAGGUAAUGGCUCACCAAGGCAACGAUGCGUAGCCGACCUGAGAGGGUGAUCGGCCACACUGGGACUGAGACACGGCCCAGACUCCUACGGGAGGCAGCAGUAGGGAAUCUUCCGCAAUGGACGAAAGUCUGACGGAGCAACGCCGCGUGAGUGAUGAAGGUUUUCGGAUCGUAAAGCUCUGUUGUUAGGGAAGAACAAGUACCGUUCGAAUAGGGCGGUACCUUGACGGUACCUAACCAGAAAGCCACGGCUAACUACGUGCCAGCAGCCGCGGUAAUACGUAGGUGGCAAGCGUUGUCCGGAAUUAUUGGGCGUAAAGGGCUCGCAGGCGGUUUCUUAAGUCUGAUGUGAAAGCCCCCGGCUCAACCGGGGAGGGUCAUUGGAAACUGGGGAACUUGAGUGCAGAAGAGGAGAGUGGAAUUCCACGUGUAGCGGUGAAAUGCGUAGAGAUGUGGAGG
This 652-nucleotide ribosomal RNA is filed under the name Bacillus subtilis group sp. RNAcentral's name for it is "bacterial SSU rRNA". It matches the Rfam family "Bacterial small subunit ribosomal RNA", at positions 69 to 704 of the family's 1533-position model. Lineage: Bacteria; Bacillati; Bacillota; Bacilli; Caryophanales; Bacillaceae. The record is from RNAcentral.